Molecule: ribosomal RNA, 465 nt
Filed under: uncultured Klebsiella sp.
Lineage: Bacteria; Pseudomonadati; Pseudomonadota; Gammaproteobacteria; Enterobacterales; Enterobacteriaceae
Description: bacterial SSU rRNA
Rfam family: Bacterial small subunit ribosomal RNA
Source: RNAcentral
CCUACGGGUGGCAGCAGUGGGGAAUAUUGCACAAUGGGCGCAAGCCUGAUGCAGCCAUGCCGCGUGUGUGAAGAAGGCCUUCGGGUUGUAAAGCACUUUCAGCGGGGAGGAAGGCGGUGAGGUUAAUAACCUCAUCGAUUGACGUUACCCGCAGAAGAAGCACCGGCUAACUCCGUGCCAGCAGCCGCGGUAAUACGGAGGGUGCAAGCGUUAAUCGGAAUUACUGGGCGUAAAGCGCACGCAGGCGGUCUGUCAAGCCGGAUGUGAAAUCCCCGGGCUCAACCUGGGAACUGCAUUCGAAACUGGCAGGCUAGAGUCUUGUAGAGGGGGGUAGAAUUCCAGGUGUAGCGGUGAAAUGCGUAGAGAUCUGGAGGAAUACCGGUGGCGAAGGCGGCCCCCUGGACAAAGGCUGACGCUCAGGUGCGAAAGCGUGGGGAGCAAACAGGAUUAGAUACCCUUGUAGUC